AUGCCACAAUCAGUGCAUAGACCAUCUGAAGCACAUAGAACACAAAAACAGCAAGAAAUGGCUGGAAUAAAUGGUUCCAAUCUGAUUGCCUGGGUUUCUGCACAAUUUCCAGGAGUCAGGAUGCACAGAUGUUUAUCGCUGUGUAGAUUAUGUAGAUCUCAGCACCGCCCCACCGGCCCGGUGAGACCAGCAUACUCAACACAACAGCUGGGAGAUGAUGCUAUAAACUGCCAUACAAAUCUCAAGCUGCACUGCAGUGUGCAAUUAUCAUCAGGUUCAUUGUCACACAUCCACUGCAUUUUUUUAAUUGAAAAAACUAACGUCUCAAGCUGAUAAACACUGAAAGGAAGCACUCAGCGGCCAUUCAGAGGGAUGAAGAGAGAGCAAAAAAGUCGAUGGCGUCCGGUGAAUGUGAGCAGAGUCACCAUCUUAUAUUGGCCAAUCAAUCAACCUAUCUGACAGUUAUUACGUUAAGCAGCCAAUCAGAUUGCUCAGCCUCUUUGCCUGAAGGCUGAAUAUACAGGAAAUGAUGUGAUCACUUGUGGAAGUAGGACGUGGCACACUGACACAGCUGGUGAGGAGUGCAGACCUGGAACACAUUAGAGAAAAUUAUUGUUUAUCUGUAAAAGAGAAUGAAGCGAAUGAUAGUGCUUAAUCUUUGAAAUCUGCUUUAUUUUAACCAGAAUUGUGUGGUUUCUUUGUAGUUUUGAGGCCAUGUAUCUAAUAUAUACACAUUUAAAUCUGACAUUUUUUCCUCUUCUAAACAGAUCAAAAUUAUUAGUGACUUGUCCUGCACUACAGAUUUUUGUCCAAUGAGAGGCUAGCUAUUAUAAUAAAGACCCAUCCCCAAAACAACUUGUAACCAGCAAAUUGUUCAUGGCUGUGAAAUAACUAAUGUCUAUUAGUUUUUUGUUUGUUUGUUUGUUUUGUUUUUUGUUUUUGCUGCAGGGAUGAGCACUUAAGAAAGUACCCUUCCGUUUCCUGUCCCUGUAAUAAAUAAGUAAACACAGGAAAAAUAACUUUUUUAUUCCUUCAUAACAACAAAAUACAACAAAACAAUAUAUGGAUAAAUAUAUAUACACUACGAUAUACACUACCGUUUAAAAGUGUGGGGUCAGCAAGAUUUUAUUAGAAUAAAAAAAAGAAAUUAAUAAUUGUAUUCAGCAAGGAUGCAUUCAACUAAUUAAAAACAAGUGACAAUAAGGACUUUUACAUUUUACAAAAACAAAAUAUGUUGCAAAAGGGAUAAAAAUAAAUAAAAUUGAAUGCAGAUCCAUGUGUGAGAUGACAGUAAAAAUAAAUAUAAUAAAUAUACCAGAAUAAAAUAAACCUUGUUAUAAUUGUGCUUUAUAAUUAAUAAAUACCAACACAACUUAUAUAUUGCCUUAUAUAUACUUAUAAUAGUGCUUACUGGAGUCUCGUCAAUAGGUCACGCAUGUGCUGAUAGCUCUGAAGUAAACUAACCCUGAAACAUAACCUACUCCAGAGCAGGUUAUGAUCAGAGAAUAAGUUGCUAUGGUUACUUACAUACCUUGAAAGUUUCCUCCUGUUUUGGAAACGAAUGCUGAGUUUAUCCGCUUACUUGCCCUUAAACAUACAGUAUGUCACAUAUCCUGUUUUCUGGAAUACCCCCCAGGACUCAGGUUUGUCUUGUUUUUUUUAAUAAAAACACAUAAAUAGAAACGAAAAGGCAAAAAAAAAAAAAAAAAGCAUCCCCAAUCAGUUUAUAUUUUUUAUACCAAAGAUUGUAUAACUAUGAUAAAUGUAUGAUAUUUUAAAUCUUACCGACUCCAACCCUUUGAAUGUUAGUGUAUAUACAAAAAAAUAUAUAUUUAAAAAUUAAAAUUAACAAAUAAAAUUAAAUUUGCAAUUGACCUAAAUCUUAUUGAACAUGAGAGCUUUUUAUUAGAAGAGCUUUUCAGAAAUUAACAAAAGAAAACUUUUAAAGAAAAUAUUUUAAGGGAUCUUUAAGGAAAUAAUACUAUAUGCAAAUAAAAUAUGUUUGCUAUUAGACAUUCAAAUGUCACUCAUAAUCAUCACACACACUAUUUAAUAAUUGUAGCUCAACAAUUUUAUGUUCAUAGCAGCUAACUGUUAUGAAAUAGUAGACAGUAUAUGCUUGUGCAUGCUCUGUCUUUACCACACACACAAACUUGCGUGACAACCUCGCUCGUGCCUAAAGCUAUCCUGUCCCUUAAGGGCACAUGAACAUGAAAUAGUGUGCCACUCACUUUUCCUUAUCUUAACUCUCUCUAUCUCUCUCUCUCUCACACACACACACACUGUAUGCAGACAUGGUCGAUUCACAUGUGCCGUUAUAGUGUGAACCGCUGACCCAGGCUUUUAGAGAGCAAGGAAAGGAUGCUAUUGCGGUGAAGGGCACAACUUCUCACAGCAAUGUUUCAGCACUUGUCCUGACUGAAGUACUUUAAGCACCAAACUUAACACACACACAUAAACACAUUUGAGAUUGGAAAAGAUUAGUUUCAUUGACUUUGAAAAUAGGUGUUGGUGAUUUGAUGGAAAGAUAUUUUAGUCUCUGUGAAGCAGGUUGCCCAAGACUGAUCACUAAUUCAAAUUUAUGAUUUUCUCUCUUGGAAAAAUAGAGUUUUGUUAAAGAUCUUAUUUUAUAUGAUGAUAAUAUAUCAAAUAAUUUAUAUAUAAU
This is a long non-coding RNA of Cyprinus carpio carpio, 2665 nucleotides long. NCBI's taxonomy places the organism in Eukaryota, Metazoa, Chordata, Actinopteri, Cypriniformes, Cyprinidae. The record is from Ensembl.